Long non-coding RNA from Homo sapiens (human), 4300 nucleotides. Ensembl annotates it as mir-99a-let-7c cluster host gene. Its record names the gene MIR99AHG. NCBI's taxonomy places the organism in Eukaryota, Metazoa, Chordata, Mammalia, Primates, Hominidae. The record is from Ensembl.
CUGUGUAUCUGUAUGCCUGUGUGCGCGCGCGUGCUCGCUCGGGCAUCCGUGUCUAGCCGAGGGGAGGGGGUGGCGUGUGAGUGCGUGGAGGGUAAAAGCCAGUCAGUCAGUGAGAAGCAAAGAUCAACCACCUCAGAAGAGCCAGAUUCCACUUCUGUGGCCAGGACUUUUACAUUAUGGCUGGUCCGAUUGUUUUACCCUGCGUUCUAUGCUACUAAACCUUGGAUCAUUCCUAAAGUACAAAUUCUGUUCUCGAACCACAAACAAGGCUAAAAGAUCGGAGGAAAUUCAGUGAAUAUACAGGAUUGGGGUUGUGUAUUUUUAAAAGUGUCUGAUGAUUUGUGAGCCUCAAGUGACUACUCUGUGGAAUCAUCUGUCCUUGCCUUUGAAUUAGCUUUCCCUAGGCCAUGAGUCAACAUUAGUAGUUUAUACAUCCAAAUUGAUGACAAGAGCACCUCAAAGGCAGCAGCCUCAAGGAGCAGCCAUGGCCCCAGACUUGUCGCACGGAUGCAGAAAACUUAAUGGAGGAGGCUGAGGUCAGAAUGGGAAGAGUUUUUAAAAAAUAAAAAGGGGAGCUAAUAUGUGAGGAACUGAUUGCUGUGCAUUAUUUUCCACUGAACAGACCUUCUUUUAACUUCUAAUCUCAAGCACAUAGCAGCUGUUGUUUUCAUAUUAAAGAUCAGUAAGUGUUUGUUGAAUGAAUGUAUAAAUUCUUCCCCAAUCUCUGUUCCAUGUAAUAAGAACUAAGUUAGCAUUCAAUUAUAAAGAGGACUUAGAAAGUCUGCAGACAUUUUUGAUCAAAAAUCCUUUUAACUGUCUUCUUAUGGUUCCCGGUAACACCUAAGCCCAAAAAACUCAGGUCAUUUCUUGCCUGUACUGUUGCAAUAGCCUCAUAAUAACUAGUCUUCUCCUUUAUCAACCACAGUCGUCUCCGCUACACAAAGAAGAGAGGGUGCUAAUCUAAAGUGUAAAUUAUUUUAAAUCAGCACCCUUCUUGUAAUUUCCCAGUGGUUUUUCCUGUCAUAAGAAUAACAUGCAAAAUUCCUUGCUUGCAAAGCCAGGUAUGACCUUGCCCCGUCUACCUUACUGGCAUCGUCUCUCAUGACUCUUCCCCUUUUUCACUCUCCAUCUUGCCUUUUCCCAACCAUGCCUGCUAGUGAGCCUUAGCCCUUGUGUUUUCUCUGCCAGGGAUGCAUGACUGGCUUCUUUACUUUAUUCUGAUCUCUCUGCUCAAAUGUCAUCUUUUUAGAGAUAGCUUUCCUAAACAUCUUUAAAAGUACCCCAUGAACUGUGAAACACCUUUCCUGCUUUUUCUUCAUAGUACUUAUCACUUCCUGAUAUUAUGUUAGACAACAAGCAAAUAAGUAUAUGCUGUUCCCACUAAAAUAUAAGCUCCAUUUGAACAGGAGCCUUGAUUAUUCCUGAGUAUACCCCUAGUGCCCAGAACCUAGUAGGGCUUUAAUAAAUAUUAGAUUCAUUUGUUGAAUGAAAAAAUGAAUGAAUAAUUGAAUAAAGAUAUCCAGGUAGAGUGUCCGGGCAGCCCAACCUAUGUGAAGCCAGUACAAGAAUGUUUCUGUGACAUAGUGAGCGCAAUUAUUCCUCUAAAUGAUGAACUUGCAUGAGUACACAAGGAUAAAAUUAAGCACGUAGUUUAGAUUUCUGCAAGUCUCUUCCUCAGAUUGAGGAAAAACAAAGAAAUUGAGCUUAUUCUCACCUCAUUCUUACAUGAACUAAAUCCAGAAUAAAGCAUCAUUUAAAUACCAAGCACAUCCCUACCUCAGCCACUCAUGGAAUACUUUAUCUGUAAAGGGACAGAUAGAUAGUAAAUAUUUUUGGCUUUGGGGACCGUACAGUCUGUGUCGCCACUACUCAGCACUUCUGUUGAGGUGUGGAAUCAGCCCUAGACAACACAUAAACAAAUGGGUGUGGCUGUGUUCCAAUAAAAUGUUAUUUAUAAAACUAGGAAAUCAGCAGAUUUAGUCCACAGGCUGUAGUUUGCUGACCCUUGAAUUAGAGAGUCUUCCCCAAAUCCUCUUCCCAAGUUAUUGAAAGAAUGCCCAUAGGACCAUAGCUCCCUCACCUGGUUCUUUCAAGAAAUGAGACAAAUUCAGGGAUGGUUGGAGGGUGGAACGCCUACCUGUGACAUGACUAUUGAGCCUGAUUUCUUUCCUUUUAUCUCUUUAAAGUGAGUCAGGUCUUAACUUUAAACUGUCUCUAAAGUGGCAAUAACUGGGCCAUGUCAAAUACUCCCAAUGACAAAAUUUCUUCUUGGAGAAUGAAUGAGGGUUGCAUACAGUGGUGUGUUGGUAAAUGUUUAGCAACUGGCUCUCUUACUGAUUUCUGUAGUGUAAAUUCUCCCAUCCUGGCCAUCUGAAACUACCAAUAUGAUGUCACUUGAUGUAGAGUUGGGAAAAGACAGUCUCUUGAAUAAGUAUGAGCUGGUUCCAGCCCACUGCUGAACACAUAUUUAAAAGCUACAAUAGCUCUGCUCACUGCCAUUGCAGAGUCUGGAGGAAAGAGUAGCAGGCUUGAUAGGAGCAAUUGGCUGAAUAAUCUUUUGCAAUGCCAAUAAAUAAUGAAAAAGUAUAUAAAUAUAACGCUGUAUAGAAAGCUCUCAAGUUCAGUGUUUGGUUAAAAUACAUACUCAGUAAAUGGUAGCUAUUAUUGUCUUAGUUUAAGUUAUUGCAAGCAUUAAAAUUAAAUGUUUAGCUACAGACUCAAUCCAGUUUUAAUGUCAUUGUGUUAAUAAGGCCUCUUAACAUUGAAGCAACAAAGAUAAAGGAAUUUUUUUGUAGCUAUUCACGAUUCUGCCCAGCUCAAGGUAAAGAUAGCAACAAAAUACUCCAACCAGAAUAAAAGAAGUCUCCACUUGACUGCAGCUCUUCGCAACACUUCACAAGGGUCAAGCUGUGUUAGUUUCCUUCAGUGUUAAACAGAAUGCAUCUUAAGAGAAUAGUUCAAUUAUUGAUUGAAUAGUAGGUUCAAGUUGACUAUAAUCCCAACUAAUACACUCUAAGACCAGGGAUGGGCCGACAGAAGGGUAAAGUUUUCCACUCAAGUCUCGAGGCAAACACUCAGAUAGAAGUAGUAAUAUGGAUGCCUUCUAUUAUUUGGUCACAUACAAUACUGUUCCAGCCCAGUUGUGCAAAACUGGUGAAAUAAAAGGCAAAAAUAUUGACAACAGUUUGGGUAACUGGAUUCCAAAAUGGGCAUCCAUCUAAGAGAAAUUAAUGAAAAAAAAGCAUAUGGACCUUGAAAUACAUUAAUACACAGUUUAGGUUUAAACACUCAGUUUUUAUUAGAAAAGACUAACUUAUCCUGUUUUGAACACUACAAAAGUGCUUUCUGAACCAUUUACUCUCAAACCUCCUCCACCCAUUCCCCUCCAUCUAUAACGCUUUCUGCACAUCUGUAAAAGGUAUGACUUAGUGUUUGGUCUGUGAAAUAAGGUUAAAAAGGAAGCAUUUCUUUUUACAUUCUAGCUAAUGUUGAUAUUUUUCUCAUGCUUCUAUUAGCACAUAAUUCAGAUACAUUAGUUUUGAAGUUUUGAAUCUUCUCUGCUUCUUGAGGGCUCUCUGUUCUAGAUCAACAUGAUCUGUGGAACACCAGCCAAGUCCUGGGCAGAACCCUCCCCGUUGUCCAAAUAUUACUGAAUCAGUUGAGUUUUCUCUGUUGUCAAUGAAUUAUUCCACAUGUUUCUUUGGCUACAUUUUUUUUGGCUUUCUGUUCACAGUAAAUAUAGCCUUUGUUUUUAAAAACUUCUAUUAUGAAAAUUCCAAAUAUAUGCAAAUUAGAGAGAAUAGCAUAAUGAACCUCUAUGUGCUUAUCACACAUAUAGGUUCAACUAAUUAAAUUAUAUCAAUUUAUGGCCAAUCUGGUUUCAUUUAUAACAUCAUUCGCUCAUUCCUAACUCCCUGGAUUAUUUGAUUGACAUGUUUCUAAAGUUCCUUUUAAUCUGUAGGUUCCCCCUCUCAUUUAAUCUUUUGCAACUUAUUCAUUGAUGAAACUGGGUUAUUUGUCCUUUAUUGUUUCUCUCAUUCUGAAAUAUGCUGUAAUGUCAUUAACCAUAUUCUUCUUUCCUGUAUUUUCUGUAAGCUUUGAGCUAGGCAGAAAUAUUUUAAUCAGAUUCCUUUUUUUUUCUUUUAGCAAGAUUUCUUCAUAAAUAAUAUUGUAUGUGUUCAUGAAAAUAGAAAUAAAAAUAGAAAUAAAGAAGAAAUAACAGAAAAAGGACAGAAAUUGUUAAAAUUUUUUUAUGAAAACAGAUAGUAAAUAACAUUGUAAUAAAUCCCAACAGAACAUA